This 74-nucleotide transfer RNA is filed under the name Corynebacterium massiliense DSM 45435. RNAcentral's name for it is "tRNA-Val". It matches the Rfam family "tRNA". Rfam says of the family: Transfer RNA (tRNA) molecules are approximately 80 nucleotides in length. Their secondary structure includes four short double-helical elements and three loops (D, anti-codon, and T loops). Further hydrogen bonds mediate the characteristic L-shaped molecular structure. tRNAs have two regions of fundamental functional importance: the anti-codon, which is responsible for specific mRNA codon recognition, and the 3' end, to which the tRNAs corresponding amino acid is attached (by aminoacyl-tRNA synthetases). tRNAs cope with the degeneracy of the genetic code in two manners: having more than one tRNA (with a specific anti-codon) for a particular amino acid; and 'wobble' base-pairing, i.e. permitting non-standard base-pairing at the 3rd anti-codon position. The record is from RNAcentral. Lineage: Bacteria; Bacillati; Actinomycetota; Actinomycetes; Mycobacteriales; Corynebacteriaceae.
GCGUCUUUAGCUCAGCUGGAAGAGCAACUGGUUUACACCCAGUAGGUCACAGGUUCGAGCCCUGUAGGACGCAC